GCAAGUCGAGCGGAAACGAGAAGUAGCUUGCUACUUCGGCGUCGAGCGGCGGACGGGUGAGUAAUGCCUAGGAAGUUGCCCAGUAGAGGGGGAUAACCAUUGGAAACGAUGGCUAAUACCGCAUAUUCUCUUUGGAGCAAAGCAGGGGACCUUCGGGCCUUGCGCUAUUGGAUACGCCUAGGUGGGAUUAGCUAGUUGGUGAGGUAAUGGCUCACCAAGGCAACGAUCCCUAGCUGGUCUGAGAGGAUGAUCAGCCACACUGGAACUGAGACACGGUCCAGACUCCUACGGGAGGCAGCAGUGGGGAAUAUUGCACAAUGGGCGAAAGCCUGAUGCAGCCAUGCCGCGUGUAUGAAGAAGGCCUUCGGGUUGUAAAGUACUUUCAGUCGUGAGGAAGGGGGUAAGCUUAAUACGCUUAUCUCUUGACGUUAGCGACAGAAGAAGCACCGGCUAACUCCGUGCCAGCAGCCGCGGUAAUACGGAGGGUGCGAGCGUUAAUCGGAAUUACUGGGCGUAAAGCGCAUGCAGGUGGUUCAAUAAGUCAGAUG
RNAcentral lists this ribosomal RNA (548 nucleotides) under bacterium 4873K2-B40. RNAcentral's name for it is "bacterial SSU rRNA". It matches the Rfam family "Bacterial small subunit ribosomal RNA", at positions 57 to 594 of the family's 1533-position model. The record is from RNAcentral.